GACGAACGCUGGCGGCGUGCCUAAUACAUGCAAGUCGAGCGGAUGGAAGGAAGCUUGCUUCCUAAAGUCAGCGGCGGACGGGUGAGUAACACGUGGGCAACCUGCCCCUAAGAUCGGGAUAACUUCGGGAAACCGGAGCUAAUACCGGAUAUGAUUAUUUCUCACAUGAGAGAUAAUGGAAAGACGGUUUCGGCUGUCACUUAGGGAUGGGCCCGCGGCGCAUUAGCUAGUUGGUGAGGUAACGGCUCACCAAGGCGACGAUGCGUAGCCGACCUGAGAGGGUGAGCGGCCACACUGGGACUGAGACACGGCCCAGACUCCUACGGGAGGCAGCAGUAGGGAAUCUUCCGCAAUGGACGAAAGUCUGACGGAGCAACGCCGCGUGAGUGAAGAAGGUUUUCGGAUCGUAAAACUCUGUUGUUAGGGAAGAACAAGUACCAUAGUGACUGAUGGUACCUUGACGGUACCUAACCAGAAAGCCACGGCUAACUACGUGCCAGCCGCCGCGGUAA
This 512-nucleotide ribosomal RNA is filed under the name uncultured bacterium. RNAcentral describes it as "partial 16S ribosomal RNA". It matches the Rfam family "Bacterial small subunit ribosomal RNA", at positions 28 to 523 of the family's 1533-position model. The record is from RNAcentral.